Molecule: ribosomal RNA, 253 nt
Filed under: uncultured bacterium
Lineage: Bacteria
Description: partial 16S ribosomal RNA
Rfam family: Bacterial small subunit ribosomal RNA
Source: RNAcentral
GACGGAGGGUGCAAGCGUUGUUCGGCAUCACUGGGCGUAAAGCGCGUGUCGGCGGUCCGAUAAGUCGAGUGUGAAAGCCCGAGGCUCAACCUCGGAAGUGCAUUCGAAACUGUCGGGCUUGAGUACGGGAGAGGGAAGUGGAAUUCCUGGUGUAGAGGUGAAAUUCGUAGAUAUCAGGAGGAACACCGGUGGCGAAGGCGGCUUCCUGGACCGAUACUGACGCUGAGACGCGAAAGCGUGUGGAGCAAACAGG